Long non-coding RNA from Pseudopipra pipra, 4164 nucleotides. RefSeq lists it as uncharacterized. Lineage: Eukaryota; Metazoa; Chordata; Aves; Passeriformes; Pipridae. The record is from RefSeq and is a predicted model, not a curated record. The transcript is spliced from 2 exons.
GAAGGGCCUGCCGUUGAUGAGGAACUGGGUGCUGGUGACGUGGACGGUGCGGAUGCCGACCGGGAGUGUGUACACGUCCUCCAGCAACGCCCCCUCCACCUGCGCCUGCAUUUUCACCUGGAUUGCCAAGGAGGAAGGGUAGGAGCAAGGUCUGACCAAACAGAAAAUAGAAAUCCAAGCUGGGCAAGUUAAAGGAUGAAGAAUGAGCUGAUGAGCUGCUGGAUGACCCUUCUGGGGCUUGCUCACCCCAAGAGCUGCAGUGUCUUUCCCCCAUACUCGUCUGGCCCAUUUCAUCCCCCCCAAGCAAGACAGUAGGACCACUUCUCUGCCCUGCACCAGGCAGCGACUGACGUGUCACAAGAGAUACAGACCUGAGACCCUGGAGACUCACAGCAGCUCAUCUGCCCUGAUUUCUGCAUCAAAACAUCACUACUGAUCCUUAACUCACAGAGAGUCCUCCAAGGCUCCAGCUAUUAAAGCUGAAUUCUUGCAGAGUAGAAAGAAAGCUGACUGCAUGGCAAAGCCUGUGGAAGAGGUUGGCAGCCUGCUCCUCAGAGACUCUGCUCUCAACUUGCAGGGCAUCUCCUCCCCUGUAUGGUCUCAAAUGGGAUGGACUGGGCCCUAAAGGUGAAGGACCUCAGAGUACAUGUGUGCACUCCAGGCAUGCCCUUCUCACUGCCAGACCUUGCAGUUCAGCACCCAGGGAGCUGCCAAAGCUUGAUUUGAUUACUGCCUAAUUAGCAAUGCCACGCUGGUCACAUGAACAGGAGCUGUGAGAGAAGAUGGUCCAUAGGGCAGUUCCUUAACCCAAUUAGACAGAGAGAACACACAGAAAGGAAGAAAUGCCACUUUACCUCUAAGGAGUAAAGGUAUCCAGGGUUCUCAUGCAUCAGGUAAGGCCACCAAAGAUUUGGGUUCAGGACUUUGAGCUCUCCCUCUGGCCCAUCUCCUGUAGCAACCACUUUCCCCUCCUGGUCAAGUAAACUCAGGGACAAGGAAUAGGCUGUGCUGCCAACAACUGACACCUCGUACUGCACCAUUGCUGGUUCAAAGGAAACAAAAGACUAUCAGAGACUGACACAGCAGGGGGAAUACUUGUAUCACAUGUUGGGGGCUUUUCACAAACAACAGCAUUAAAAAUGAGGGAGAUGUAGAACAACAACAGUGGCAUGAAUCGAGUGUAAGAAGCAGGACUUGCCUGUCUUGUGGCCCAGAAUUUUCCAACAAGGUUUGUGUAUCACACAACUCUCACUUAGAGAUAAUCCUGCUUUAAGUGGCAGGAAGACUGCUCCUACUGAGAAAUUCUACUUUGAGAAACACCUGAUCGUCCCUUGACUUUAACUUGCAACAACUUCUUGGUUUUGUUAUUGUUUCUGAAUGCUUUACCACAUUCUUGCAGCUGCUGAGCUGUGCAAUAGGCCAGCUCAGGUUCAAGAGAAAGCCACAAGGAAACAAAUUCAGUCAGGCUUUUGCAGAAUAUUCUCUCUGCUGCCCUUGUCAUCUCCAUUUGGAGCCUGAGGUAGCUGCUGUAAUUGUUCUGGACCUACCAACAUGCUCUGAUGAAGUAGUUGUCACAGUAAUAUCAUCUAUGUAGGCAGAAGGAGUGGUGUAAAGCACAACCGGGCGAUGGAUUCCAGCAUAAUUAAAGAAAUCAAACCUGGUGUUCUGCACAAAAUAGUUCUUGGGAUACCUGAGUGAGCAAGACAAGGAGAAAUGGCUACAUUAUGCUUCAUUACACAAGAACUGAAGGCAGCAUAUGGAUGCUGGCAAUGCAAAAUAGUCAAGUAAUCACAGCUGCUGGCUGGUAAAACAGUCUUUACAACAGGGUGGAUCUGUCUUUCAGUGGUGCUACUGCUGCUACACUAAAGGAUUCUGCCAGCUAACAAACAUGUGGAGCCCAAAGAGUUUGAUCCUUCAGGAUAGCAGGUACUUGCAGUUUCCAGCUGAAUUCAAGCUUCUCAAAUCUGCCAUUGAUUCAGCUUGACAAAUCACUUAAUCUCAGCUCCCUGUGUAUAAAAGAGAUGCAAUAACUCAGUGCUGAUUUCUUGUAGCACCAAAGCUUAAACUCCUCCCUGCUCGACUGCUGAAUUUCAGCAUAAAUACAAUCCCGUGCUUUUGUGAGUUGCUUGGAGGGUUUCAUGCACCAGCAGCUGAAUAAACUCCCACUCCCCCAUCCCUGGGAUUAGCCCAGCAGUGCAGCACCUCGGCAACUCACCUUGUUUUGUCAGUCAUGUACUGGAUGGACCCCGGGGGCAGAGUGUGGGGUGUCAGGGUGUUGUUGAGCGCAACAGUGACACGGCAGAGGGUCCCUGGGCUGCCCUGGACAAUGCUGCUGAUAUCAGCUUCAAAAGGGAGGUGUCCCCCUUCAUGCUCCACCACUUGCACCCCGUUGACCCACUGCAAGAGAAGACACCCAAAAAAAUGGAGUUAUUGGGGUUUUGUGGCAAGCAAAGCGCAGAGAAGGGAAGGAGCCCAGCAAAGGGCAGUCGGGAUCCCCAGCAACACUGAACCUUUUUCUGGGCUCUUGAUCCUCAAAGGAUCAAUCCAGAAGCCCUUCCUUUGCCAGGAGGUAGGUCUGGUUUACCUACAAAUGUCACUGAGAGACACAGUUUAGCGAGGAAAUAUUUAGGAACUAGUCCUGAUAUUGGAGCAAAGAGAUACUGGAAAUCACGGCCAAGUUCUUGGCUGGGGGAAAACAGGCAAGAGCGAAGAAAACAGCAAAGGGAUACAAACUCUAGGCAGAGAUGCCAUGAGCCCAGUUCCAGUGCAGCACAGUUUUGGGAGCACACGGACAAUCUCACGUACCACGAUGGAGUAGUAGUGGGCACUCCCAAAACGCAGCACCACCCUGGUGCUGGGGGAGUCCUGCAGCCAGCGGGCAGGGAGCAGCACCUCCUUCUCAUACCACACCCAGCCGAUGUAGUUCUCCAGACUGGGGUCCUGGGUCAGGUCGUUGAAGCUGGCAGGCACUGGCAUGUCAAUCACAGGGCCGGUCUGGCAGGAAUUUCAUGGAAAGGGAAGGAAGAGAUCAUUUAAAAAGAGAAAUUUUACUGCUGGAGGUGUCCCCUACCACGACAGCCUUACAGUCUCUUUGCCAAGGGGGAAAUAACUCAGGAAAACCUGUUUAGAAACUGGUGUGGUCUGUCACAGGUCCUACACAAGUCCUGAUUAGCAGCAGGCACGGGAAUGUGCCUGUUCCUGCAGGAAACAGCUGCUCAUAUCUUUUCCCCUCCUGAUGUACAAUGAAGUGCUUCCACUAAUGGCUCUGGUGUCAUGGAAUCAGAGAGGUGAGGGGGGGAAAAAAACCACCCAGGUUGUUGUUUUAGCCCAGGGCUUCCCACAGCCUGUAUUCUUUCCUGCACAGCUCCAGCUGCUGGGUGAGCAAUGCAGGGGUUGUUGGGGUGCUGCUUGUCAGGCUAAGAGCUGUAGUAAAAGAGCGGCAAGACUAAUGGAUAUUUUGGGACAGAUUCCUCAGGGAAGGUUCGUGGAGACUGUUUGGAAUGAGUUCAGCCUUUCUCAGCCCCUGAAAGCAGCAGGGAUUCAACGGAAUCACUUCACUUGAUUGUUUUAAGGUAAGGGUUAGAGGGAGGCAGUGUCACAGCACACUGAACAUCGAGGUGCUAUUGCCAAACAGAGCAGCUCAUUUUUAGCACCUGCUGAGCUCAUGAUGUUGCACAAACAAGUGCUGCAGCAGCUUCCCCUUUCCUGAGGAAGCCUUUCCAUGGAAAGGGGAACAAGGAAGGUGCGGUUGCCCAGGGUGAGCAUCAUGUGCAGGGCUGACUCAGCACCAGCACUGCAGAGAACUCGGUGCCUUUAUCAGACACUAGAAAAUCCCAGAGGGAAAAUCCUUGGAUGGUGAAGCGGAUUUUCUAGUAUUUGAUGCAGGACAUCCUUUGACUGGGAUGGCCAGAACAAGUGUCUCCUUCUGGGAGAUUCUCUGAUGGUUAAGUGUACAUGUCUAAGCCUCCCUUUGUGGGGGAAUAGUUCAGGACUCCUCUCCCCUGGCUAGCACUUUUUGCAAUAACUUCCAGCAGCACAGUGUCUUUCAGCUCUUCUCCCCUUCCACAGUUUGACCAAAAAUUUAGCCAAAAGACUAAAAAUAGUAAUUGUGAAUGACUUAUAUACUUUAUGCAUGGAAUACAUAACUUCUUUUUUUUAGGUUAA